This 324-nucleotide ribosomal RNA is filed under the name uncultured soil bacterium. RNAcentral's name for it is "bacterial SSU rRNA". It matches the Rfam family "Bacterial small subunit ribosomal RNA", at positions 26 to 355 of the family's 1533-position model. The record is from RNAcentral.
AGAUUGAACGCUGGCGGCAUGCCUUACACAUGCAAGUCGAACGGUAGAGUAGCAAUACUCGAGAGUGGCGAACGGGUGAGUAAUAUAUCGGAACGUGCCCAGUCGUGGGGGAUAACGUAGAGAAAUUUACGCUAAUACCGCAUACGAUCUAAGGAUGAAAGCGGGGGAUUCGCAAGAACCUCGCGCGAUUGGAGCGGCUGAUAUCAGUAUUAGGUUGUCGGUGAGGUAAAAGCUCACCAAGCCGACGAUCUGUAGCUGGUUUGAGAGAACGACCAGCCACACUGGGACUGAGACACGGCCCAGACUCCUACGGGAGGCAGCAGU